CCACUCCUCCCCUCUCUCUUUUUUCCUCUUCUUCCUCUCAUUCUCCUCCUCUCAAUGGUAGCAAAAAAAAACUCAGAUCUCCAUCCCAAUCCUUUUAUUUUCUCGAUUUUAACCAGAUCUGGGUUUGCAUGUCGUCGGGGAUGCCUCCGGCGAUAGGAAAAAAGGGUUGCCGCCGAUGACGGAUCCGCCGGUCGGAGAAGAGACGGACGAGGGGAGGUAAAAAAACUCAGUUUUUAUUUUGCCUGAUUUUGCUUGAAAAUUUGAUUAUUUGUUCAUCUUUAAUAGGAUUCCAGCAUUGAUGUUUAACAUAAAACCCUCGUUUAAGCUUGAUUUCUGCAUUAUGUUGUGAGUAGCUUUACAGUUCUUGAGUUCUUGGUGAAAAUGGUGUGAAAAUAAUGAUAAAUGGUUUUUAGUCUCUUGUUAAUGUAUUUCCAGCAACUUUUAUUUGUUUUAGGAUGUUUAUUUUACUGUUUAAUCCAUUGGUUGUUAAAAAGAAUCAUCUAUCUAGUUAGUUGUAAUGAAAACUCGAUUAGAAGAGGCUUUAAACGACAUAACAUAACAAACACAUCUGUGUGCGCGUGCUGAUAAUAUGAGUGAUAUGUGAACGAUCGGAAAUAGGGAUGUUUGUGAAUGGUAUACCUUUUGAUACGAGGCUUUUUGUCGUGUUUCAGAUGGCGGUGCCCUCCUCGUUUCCUAACUUUUGGGACGUAUAAACUUCCUCCUUUGGCGGCUUCUACGUGGGUGACGACAUAAGAGAUUUGUAAUUUUUUAUUUUUAGUGGUUUGUAAUAUUUAUUUUUUGGGACUUUGUGGGUUGAGGGUGUUUGUAUUGUUUUAGGGUUUUUAUGGGCGAAGUGGGGGGAGUCUCUGGGAAUUGUAAUAUUUUCCUUCUAGUGUCGCAAAGGUCGAUCAAAUCCGUCCUGAAAUUUCGAGAUAGCGUGCCUGAAAUUCGGCCAAAAGACCAUCAAAUGUCGCAAAGGUCGAUCUUCUUUGAAUUUCGAGAGAGUGGGCUUGGGGUCCAUCCGUUUUGGCCGUUCUAGUUAAGAAAUAGUUAAAUAAUAAUUAGCUUAGUACAAUAAACAUUGUAAGAAGUACAAUUUGAAGAUGCCCACUAAUCGCCAAU
Molecule: long non-coding RNA, 1122 nt
Filed under: Linum usitatissimum (flax)
Lineage: Eukaryota; Viridiplantae; Streptophyta; Magnoliopsida; Malpighiales; Linaceae
Description: long non-coding RNA (LUSI_LNC002946)
Source: RNAcentral